UAAUACGGAGGGAGCAAGCGUUGUUCGGAAUUACUGGGUGUAAAGGGGGCGCAGGUGGCCCGUCAAGUUUCGGGUAAAAUCCUUGGGCUCAACUCAAGAAUUGCCCGGAAAACUGGCGGGAUUGAGCAUAGGAGAGAGGGCGGAACUCCCAGUGUAGCGGUGGAAUGCGUAGAUAUUGGGGGGAACACCAGUGGCGAAGGCGGCCCUCUGGACUAUUGCUGACACUCAUGCCCGAAAGCCAGGGGAGCAAACAGGAUUAGAUACCCUGGUAGUCCUGGCCCUAAACGAUGUGAGCUAGGUGUCCCGGAGUACAUUCUGGGGUGCCGCAGCUAACGCAAUAAGCUCACCACCUGGGGAGUACGGUCGCAAGGCUG
RNAcentral lists this ribosomal RNA (374 nucleotides) under uncultured bacterium. RNAcentral's name for it is "bacterial SSU rRNA". It matches the Rfam family "Bacterial small subunit ribosomal RNA", at positions 521 to 896 of the family's 1533-position model. The record is from RNAcentral.